This 309-nucleotide long non-coding RNA is filed under the name Homo sapiens (human). RNAcentral describes it as "HSALNT0028775". Lineage: Eukaryota; Metazoa; Chordata; Mammalia; Primates; Hominidae. The record is from RNAcentral.
CUGCUCCAACGUGAGUGCGCUUAUGAAACGGGUUCCUUCCUCUCCCCUGGGAUGCAGCCACCAGGACACCAAGACCUCUGCUCGGAGACAGAGACUCAUAGGGGCGUGUUGGUAGCUGAAGCCUGGAGGAGAACUCAAGAAAACCCUUGCAAAAUGAGGAGAAAGAAUUUCAAUCCUGGAGGCUGAAAUCAGGGGACAGAGAAAACGGCAGGAGAGAUGGAGAAUUGAAAUGCAGGAAGGCCAUUUUUAAUGUGUUUACAGAAACACGGUGAAAAGAAGUCAGCGAAGAAGGGCACUGGUGUUGGCCGG